GCGGAGACGGCGUCGAGGCAGUGAGGCAACAGGGAGCGUCGCGGGCGGCACGGUGAGACCGGCGGGCAGCGUCGUGGGCAAAGCAGGAGCUUCGAAUCUCCUGGUGUCGGUCACGAGCCAAGCGGAGAGCAACCCCGGGUUGUCAGGUCACUGGAUCCGUGGCGUCGGGUCACCAAUCGGAGGUCGCGAUGAGGUUGCAAGCGAAGCGCGACGGAGCAGGGGCUUCGAAUCGACGCGGGCUCGCGGGUGGAGGUUCGAAGCGGCAGUCUGGCGUCAUGGGUGCGGCUGAGUCACAGCAGCGGCGGCGACGGGCAAGACGGCGAUGGUGCAAGCAGGCGGCGCCGGCAG
This 348-nucleotide long non-coding RNA is filed under the name Eucalyptus grandis. RNAcentral describes it as "long non-coding RNA (EGRA_LNC006949)". Lineage: Eukaryota; Viridiplantae; Streptophyta; Magnoliopsida; Myrtales; Myrtaceae. The record is from RNAcentral.